UACGUAGGGUGCGAGCGUUGUCCGGAAUUACUGGGCGUAAAGGGCGCGUAGGCGGCUUCUCAAGCGUGUGGUGAAAGUCCGGGGCUCAACCCCGGAUCGGCCGUGCGGACUGGGGAGCUCGAGUUCUGUAGAGGCGGGUGGAAUUCCGGGUGUAGCGGUGGAAUGCGUAGAGAUCCGGAAGAACACCGGUGGCGAAGGCGGCCCGCUGGGCAGAGACUGACGCUGAGGCGCGACAGCGUGGGGAGCAAACAGG
RNAcentral lists this ribosomal RNA (253 nucleotides) under uncultured bacterium. RNAcentral's name for it is "partial 16S ribosomal RNA". It matches the Rfam family "Bacterial small subunit ribosomal RNA", at positions 524 to 776 of the family's 1533-position model. The record is from RNAcentral.